Long non-coding RNA from Seriola aureovittata, 1703 nucleotides. RefSeq lists it as uncharacterized. The record is from RefSeq and is a predicted model, not a curated record. The transcript is spliced from 3 exons. NCBI's taxonomy places the organism in Eukaryota, Metazoa, Chordata, Actinopteri, Carangiformes, Carangidae.
GGUAAGAACACACACCUGUGUGUGUCCUGUAACCUCAGAGUGUAAAAGCAGCUGCAGCUGCCGCCUCCUCUCACCGUGAGAGAAGAUGUGACUGUCAUGUUCCUCCAGAGCAGGAGAAGAUGAUCUGCUGCAUCCUGCUGCUCCUCACACUGACCUCCUGUGUCUGUGGAACAUUUGUAGUGAAUGUGACACAGAGCUCCUAUCAGGCAGAGGAGAACCACAACAUCACACUGGAGUGGAGCUUCACAACCAAACCUCACACUCCACCUGACUCCCUUAUUAUCUUCUGUGAACUGAUCACUGAUCUCAGACAAUCAGUCCUGUAUCAUCUACAGGACUGAUUGAAAUGUUUUUGCGUCUGCAAUGUUUUUUCUUUACAUGAACAACACAGAUUUGUUUGGUCUCUUUGCAGCAGCGAGGGAUCGGCCUGAACUUGAGACAGAACCUGAGACAGAACCUGAGACAGAACCUGGAGAACCAAACACAGCAAGUCGGGGAAGGAUCAGCCUCUACUGUGGACUGGGACUGACAGCAGCUGUUGUUCUGACUCUUUUCAUUCAUUCGUCCUGAGGAACGUUUCAGCUCAGCAGAAACAGUUUGAUCCACAAAGUAAGUGAAAGUGUCAGAAUUCAACUUUGUACCACAGACACUGAAAACACUGUUUUCCCCUUUAGUUUCUUCAGUAAGUGACUAUAAGAGCCACAGGACACUGUCAUCCAUCAUUGGCUGGACCUCAACAGUGGUAUGUGGUCCAGCCAAUGAUAAAGUGGUCAGUAAAGUCUGUGACUGACUGACUGAGAGAUGAAGUUACACCAUUGGUCGGUCCAGUGUUUGACUUUUCCCAUUGGCUCUUUCAAAAUGAUUUGGUGGGAACAGUUUCUAUUACGUCUUUUACAGUGGAAACAAUACACGGUCCAGUCAUACACUAGAUCUAUACCUAGUCUUAUUUUGAAAGGACACCUUGUUAAACUGUGUCAGACAGAUGUGAAACGUGCACUGUGUUCACUUCAUGAAAUAAUGCUGAGAAGCUUGUCUACUUUUACUGACUUACCCAUCAUGCACUUGACCUGAUGGUAUGAAACUGUAGCAGCUCACAGGAAGUGAUGCGACUGUUUGUAUUGUUGUUAAUGUUCUUCCAUUUACUGCCUGAAAACUGUAAAACUGUAUUUUUGAAAUCUGAUUUUCUCCCUGUCUGUUACAGCUUGUUGUUAUUUGCUGCCUGUUAUUGUCACUUUUUCAUUGGAUGUAAUCUCCAGAGAAAAGCUGUGAGUUAACACUGUUGUUAAUGAGCACGGUCACUGGAGGGAGCUCUUUGUGCUCAUUUACACCAUCAGACACUUUCCUGUUUUACCUCAAGUGUUUUCUUCAUGUAUGUUUCAGUAUCGUUGAACUUCUCGUCUCCUCUAUCAUAACGACAGGACCUGAGUCAAAGGUUUAUCUGUGACAUGAAAUUCAUAUUUUUGUGUUACAUGAUGUUUAUAUUGUUUUGGUUUAGAGUUUAAAUUGAGUCAUUACAGCAUCAACAACUCAUAUCAGUGUAAAUAAUGUUUCCAUUUGAUCUGACAAAUGUAAAAUUCGACUAAAAUCACAUUAGAUUUGGAGUCUAGACGUCUUCACACUGUCAGUCCCACUCCCCUCUUGACCACUGAUGGAAACUGUUACAAUGCAGUUUAUAAUGUGAAUAUCCUGUAAAUAAAUUUCUA